UGUCCUAUAUUUGCGUUCUGGAUGAUUGGGAAAUAAAUAGGAAAGAACUAACUAUUACGGACAGCAAACUAGGUGGAUUGUGCUUUGGCGUGGUGAAGAAGGGGAUAUAUCAUAACAAAGACCAAGAUAUAUAUAUUGAUGUAAAGAUGCUAAAAGGGGUGUUAUUUGAGAGGUAUUGGUUUGUUUGAUCACUGAAAUCUAGUUUUGAACACUCAGGUACAUUGUCUAAAGAAAAUUUGUGGUCAUUGGAAAACAUUGAUAACUAGCUUAUGUGUAAAGUCUUAAUGUAAUCUAGCUGUUGCAAAACCAUUACAUUUUACCUUCUUCA
This is a long non-coding RNA of Xenia sp. Carnegie-2017, 328 nucleotides long. RefSeq lists it as uncharacterized. The record is from RefSeq and is a predicted model, not a curated record. The transcript is spliced from 2 exons. NCBI's taxonomy places the organism in Eukaryota, Metazoa, Cnidaria, Anthozoa, Malacalcyonacea, Xeniidae.